Molecule: ribosomal RNA, 608 nt
Filed under: Saccharomyces cerevisiae (brewer's yeast)
Lineage: Eukaryota; Fungi; Ascomycota; Saccharomycetes; Saccharomycetales; Saccharomycetaceae
Description: eukaryotic LSU rRNA
Rfam family: Eukaryotic large subunit ribosomal RNA
Source: RNAcentral
AAUAGCGGAGGAAAAGAAACCAACCGGGAUUGCCUUAGUAACGGCGAGUGAAGCGGCAAAAGCUCAAAUUUGAAAUCUGGUACCUUCGGUGCCCGAGUUGUAAUUUGGAGAGGGCAACUUUGGGGCCGUUCCUUGUCUAUGUUCCUUGGAACAGGACGUCAUAGAGGGUGAGAAUCCCGUGUGGCGAGGAGUGCGGUUCUUUGUAAAGUGCCUUCGAAGAGUCGAGUUGUUUGGGAAUGCAGCUCUAAGUGGGUGGUAAAUUCCAUCUAAAGCUAAAUAUUGGCGAGAGACCGAUAGCGAACAAGUACAGUGAUGGAAAGAUGAAAAGAACUUUGAAAAGAGAGUGAAAAAGUACGUGAAAUUGUUGAAAGGGAAGGGCAUUUGAUCAGACAUGGUGUUUUGUGCCCUCUGCUCCUUGUGGGUAGGGGAAUCUCGCAUUUCACUGGGCCAGCAUCAGUUUUGGUGGCAGGAUAAAUCCAUAGGAAUGUAGCUUGCCUCGGUAAGUAUUAUAGCCUGUGGGAAUACUGCCAGCUGGGACUGAGGACUGCGACGUAAGUCAAGGAUGCUGGCAUAAUGGUUAUAUGCCGCCCGUCUUGAAACACGGACCA